GUGUCAGCCGCCGCGGUAAUACGUAGGCAGCGAGCGUUGUUCGGAAUUACUGGGCGUAAAGAGUGUGUAGGCGGUUUUCCAAGUUUGGUGUGAAAUCUCCCGGCUUAACUGGGAGGGUGCGCCGAAAACUGGAAGGCUCGAGUAUGGGAGAGGGAAGCGGAAUUCCUGGUGUAGCGGUGAAAUGCGUAGAUAUCAGGAGGAACACCUGUGGUGUAGGCGGCUUCCUGGACCAUUACUGACGCUGAGACACGAAAGCGUGGGGAGCAAACAGGAUUAGAUACCCCCGUAGUCC
RNAcentral lists this ribosomal RNA (292 nucleotides) under uncultured bacterium. Its description in RNAcentral is "partial 16S ribosomal RNA". It matches the Rfam family "Bacterial small subunit ribosomal RNA", at positions 505 to 796 of the family's 1533-position model. The record is from RNAcentral.